GAAUUUAGGGGGUGUUCAAUACUUCGUACCUGGGCACCUCAGUAGCCUAACGUGGUUUCUUCACUCCUUGCUCUCUAAUUUCCACUGGACAUGGCACAGUACUGUAUCUUCUAUUGUCAGCUGUGAAAGGAAAUUGACACCCACCUGAGAGUGGCCAAAACAGUCCAUGUGCCACACCUGUGCCUGGCUAAAGCCUGGCCUAGCCCCUGACCCUGCCCUUCCAAGAGCUUUAUACAAGAUCGGUUGCAGAUGGAAAGAAGGGAAUUCUAGAAAAGGCUUAUCAGGUGGCAAAGGGCUGUCUCAUAUACAAGCAACUGUGACCUACUGAGAAUGAAGCUGAAAUAGACACUUUGCUCUAAGCCCAGACUAAUGAACAACAAGAGAGAACUGAAAGCAUGACCUUCGGGGUGGGGUGGGUGGGAAAGAAGUUGGAGGUGGAGGCAGAGAUCAGCUGGCUAGGAAUCCUUCCUAACUCCACAAUUCUUUUGGUUUAUUCUGUGUCUCUUCGGAGACAAAAGUGAGUAGAUAAUUACAGGGAACUGAAAUGUCUGCUAUAUCUCAGAGUAGGCUAGUAGCCCCAAGAAAGAGAAGGCACCUCUAUCCAGGCUGUGUUUUCGAUUUAGCCAGAGAAGUGAGGAUGAGGAUCAAGACAGUGAAUUGCAAGAACUGGAAAUUCUGGGAGAAAACACUCUCUCUCUCUCUCUCUCUCUCUCCCGUCUCCCCAGUCAGCACUUGCAUGUCCAUACACAGUUAUGGGCUCCCUUGGAUCAUGCAAUUGAUUCCGCCUCAUCCAGACAUAAAGUGAGCACGUACCACCACCCACCUGCGAGGCAGAAACUGUGGGAAGACACCUGGCUGCCUAAACCUCAUGCUGCCUAACACCCUCUCCCCAGAGAUCAAAGACAUGUCUCCAAUAACUGUUGGGAGAAGGCAGAGGAAGCAGUGAUAUUAGGAAAUGACUUAAUCUGCAACAAAGAUAUAAAAAGGAUGAAGAGGAGGAGGAAGAGGAAGAGGAGUUCGUCUUGCUGUCUUGGGGUAGCAGAGGCAGAAAAAAAAAUCCACCUAUAAGUGAACCUGUUGUUGUUUAAGGAUAAAUUGUGUAUUUUAUUUUUCUCUAGGUCUUUUUAAAAAAUAGGACUACAUCUUUUGUCAAAGAACAAGAACGUGAGCAAACCAAGAGUGCUCAUUAUCAAAACUAUAGGUCAAAAAACACUGUGGGGUUUUUGUGAAACACAAGGGUGUUAAAUGCAUUGUUUUUAACUUACAUAAUUCAUUUUCUUGUUAUAGAGGAGAAAAUUCUGUUGCAUAUACAUAGUAAACAGUUCUAAAAUGAUAUAGCUCUAUGAAGAAAAGACUGUUUGAAACAAUUUUUCCUCUAAGGACUGACAUCCAAUGAAACAAUAAAGAGCAAAGGACAUUAGUCAUAAAUAGACCUCCCUAUUCUGCAGUGAUGUGAUCUUUCAAGAGGUUUAAAAAAAAUAUGUUGCAAUCCUGUUAAUUGGGUUCCUCAGCUCUGAUUAUCAGUCUCAUUUGAUUAUUAACCUAAUUGCUAUCUAAAUCAAGGAAAGCUAUUCAGUGAUUGCUUCUUGAUUUUUAAAAAGUAUUCUGACUGGUUAAUGUAACAUCUUAUUUAUUUUGUGUCUUAAGCAGUGCCUACUCUACUUUUGUUUUGAUUCAACUUGAAAAUAUAAUUUAUUAGUAAAGACACUGAAAUUAACAGUCUAUUAGCAUUAUAUGUAUGGGUCAAGUUGGGCUGUGAUGAAAUUCAUAAGAACUCAGAAAAACAAUGAGUCAUCAAAAGAGAUUUGAUUCCAUGGGGGGUAAUUUGGGAUUACUCUAUUAUAAUCGAAUUUCAAAAGCAGAGAAGCUCUUGAUAUAGGAUAAAUCCUCUAUAGGUAUGGAAAACUGUGGUUUAGUAUUAAAUGCGCACUAUUUGGCAGGUGUUGCGCUGGUGGGAUCAGGUAAGGUACCUCAUUUCAUUCUCACAGCAAAUCAAAUGGAAAAACUGGGGUUCAUAAAGCAAAAUGAUUUGCUGUCUAGGUAGGCUAACUUAGGGCCUGAAUUUGUUUUUCUGCUUUCUAAUACAAUCAUGUGUUAUUUAAUGAUGGCGAUACAUUCUAAGAAAUGUAUCCUCAGGGGAUUUUGUCCUUGUGUGAACAUCAUGGAGUGAAUUUUCACAAACCUAGACAAUAUAUAGCCUAGUAUACACCUAAACUAUAUGGUACAGCUUAUUGCUUUUAGGCUACAAACCUGUACAGUGUGUUAUUGUACUGAAUGCUGUAGGCAGUUAGAAC
This is a non-coding RNA of Microcebus murinus (gray mouse lemur), 2294 nucleotides long. NCBI's taxonomy places the organism in Eukaryota, Metazoa, Chordata, Mammalia, Primates, Cheirogaleidae. The record is from RefSeq and is a predicted model, not a curated record.